This 477-nucleotide ribosomal RNA is filed under the name Candidatus Scalindua marina (nom. nud.). RNAcentral's name for it is "bacterial SSU rRNA". It matches the Rfam family "Bacterial small subunit ribosomal RNA", at positions 365 to 832 of the family's 1533-position model. Lineage: Bacteria; Pseudomonadati; Planctomycetota; Candidatus Brocadiia; Candidatus Brocadiales; Candidatus Scalinduaceae. The record is from RNAcentral.
UUCGCAAUGCCCGAAAGGGUGACGAAGCGACGCCGCGUGGGUGAAGAAGGCCUUCGGGUUGUAAAGCCCUGUCAGGAGUUAUGAAAUGUAGGUGCGAUAAUACCGUGCCUAUUUGACAAAGGCUCCAAAGGAAGCCACGGCUAACUCUGUGCCAGCAGCCGCGGUAAUACAGAGGUGGCAAGCGUUGUUCGGAAUUAUUGGGCGUAAAGAGCACGUAAGUGGGUUUGUAAGUCAGAUGUGAAAGCCUUCUGUUCAACGGAAGAAUUGCAUCUGAAACUGCGAGUCUUGAGUGUAGGAGGGGAGAAUGGAACUUCUGGUGGAGCGGAGAAAUGCGUAGAUAUCAGAAGGAACGCCGGCGGCGAAAGCGAUUCUCUGGCCUAUUAGUGACACUGAGUGUGCGAAAGCUAGGGGAGCAAGCGGGAUUAGAUACCCCGGUAGUCCUAGCCGUAAACGAUGGGCACUAAGUAGAGGGGUUUU